AUACGGAGGGUGCAAGCGUUACUCGGAAUCACUGGGCGUAAAGGAUGCGUAGGCGGAUAAUCAAGUCAAAAGUGAAAUCCUACAGCUUAACUGUAGAACUGCUUUCGAAACUGGUUAUCUAGAAUAUGGAAGAGGCAGAUGGAAUUAGUGGUGUAGGGGUAAAAUCCGUAGAGAUCACUAGGAAUACCGAUUGCGAAGGCGAUCUGCUGGGACAUUAUUGACGCUGAGGCAUGAAAGCGUGGGGAGCAAACAGGAUUAGAAACCCCAGUAGUCC
RNAcentral lists this ribosomal RNA (274 nucleotides) under uncultured bacterium. RNAcentral's name for it is "partial 16S ribosomal RNA". It matches the Rfam family "Bacterial small subunit ribosomal RNA", at positions 523 to 796 of the family's 1533-position model. The record is from RNAcentral.